CUCAAAUGUAAUUCUUUUUAUGACUUACAGGUCCCAGGUCUUGUAUCUGCUUCCUCCCCCUUUCCUGACUAUAAAAAAUAAUAAAGAAAGACAACUAACUUUUAAAGCCCAAAAUGAUCAGGCUCCUGGUGCACCAGAAUGAGUGUGGGCGCUCUCUCAGAUGAGCCGUAAGAAGACAAACCAGGUUAUCAGAAACUGUGGAGUGACCUACCUGCUGAACCCAGGCUUGGUAAAUCUACCUCUGCUUUACAAUUCUGAUUUAUUAUGUGAUUUAUAAAUGAAGAGUAUUAUUAUGUUGUUACAAGUGAAUGAUGUGAAAGAAAAGACGUCUGAAGUCAUUUCACUGUUCUUUAUAACUUUUAAAACAUUUGUAAGAAUCACUCUAAUCAACUCAGAUGACCUUUGAGGACAGUUUUCCACUUUGUCCUAAAGCAGCAUCUGGACCAAAACAAACCUAAGUUAUUUUAUGGUCACAGCCCACAAGGAUCAGUUGAUCAGUGUAGAGAAAUAUCCUAUAAAAAUGAUGCAUUAGUAAUAAUGUUAUUACGUUUCAAAAGUGAUAAAUAGGUCUAUGUUUGUUUUUUCCAAACAGGAAAACUUGAAUUCUUUUGGCUUUUUUAUGAAUGAGAAAAACAUCAAUUUGAAGACUGUUGCUUAACAUUGCCGGGAAAUAUUUUGAAUGAAAUAAUGUCAUAAUAAUUGUUUAUUAAUAUUUUAUUUUAUUUUGUCUUCCUGCUCCUUUUACAUGUUGGAGACGUUUGACGCGUCUGCUUCUGCUCACGAUGAUGCAUAUGUGGGUUAUAAGUGUCCCCAAAGAAACACUCAGUGAUGAUGAUGAUGAUGAUGAUGAUGUGCUGCUGACUCUUCUGACAGGACGCUGAUUUACAUUGUUUUUCAGUUUUCCUCCUGACAUCAGCCUGCUCGUCAGCGUGCGCACGAUGCGCGCGCUCCGUGCCAAGAACACAACC
Xyrichtys novacula (pearly razorfish) is the source of this 968-nucleotide non-coding RNA. NCBI's taxonomy places the organism in Eukaryota, Metazoa, Chordata, Actinopteri, Labriformes, Labridae. The record is from the annotation of a GenBank genome assembly.